Molecule: ribosomal RNA, 255 nt
Filed under: uncultured bacterium
Lineage: Bacteria
Description: partial small subunit ribosomal RNA
Rfam family: Bacterial small subunit ribosomal RNA
Source: RNAcentral
AGGACGAACGCUGGCGGCGUGCUUAACACAUGCAAGUCGAGCGGAAAGGCCCUUCGGGGUACUCGAGCGGCGAACGGGUGAGUAACACGUGAGCAACUUGCCCUUAGCUUCGGGAUAGCUCCGGGAAACCGGAAUUAAAUACCGAAUAUGACUUUGGCUGACAUCAGCAGAAGUGGAAAGUUUUUCGGCUAGGGAUGGACUCGCGGCCUAUCAGCUAGUUGGUGAGGUAACGGCCCACCAAGGCGACGACGGGUA